This 466-nucleotide ribosomal RNA is filed under the name uncultured bacterium. Its description in RNAcentral is "partial 16S ribosomal RNA". It matches the Rfam family "Bacterial small subunit ribosomal RNA", at positions 28 to 507 of the family's 1533-position model. The record is from RNAcentral.
GACGAACGCUGGCGGCGUGCUUAACACAUGCAAGUCGAACGGAAAGGCCCUGCUUGCAGGGUACUCGAGUGGCGAACGGGUGAGUAACACGUGGGUGAUCUGCCCUGCACUUCGGGAUAAGCUUGGGAAACUGGGUCUAAUACCGGAUAGGGGCUCCUGCUGCAUGGUGGGGGUUGGAAAGUUUCGGCGGCUGGGGAUGGACUCGCGGCUUAUCAGCUUGUUGGUGGGGUAGUGGCUUACCAAGGCUUUGACGGGUAGCCGGCCUGAGAGGGUGACCGGCCACAUUGGGACUGAGAUACGGCCCAGACUCCUACGGGAGGCAGCAGUGGGGAAUAUUGCACAAUGGGCGGAAGCCUGAUGCAGCAACGCCGCGUGCGGGAUGACGGCCUUCGGGUUGUAAACCGCUUUCGCCUGCGACGAAGCGUGAGUGACGGUAAUGGGUAAAGAAGCACCGGCUAACUACGUG